GGGGGCGUACAGGAUUCGACGAAAUCGUAAUUGCUGCUAAGAGGCAUGCCGGGCUCCGAGCACCCGUUAAACGAUCGGAACACAAGAACUGCCAACAACAUGCAGUUUGCACACGCUGCCUAAGCUUUAGGCAGCCGCCUAGACUGGUGGGCUCGCACGCAAGUCAUAGGUGUCAUUUUGCGGGAUAGGCCUCGGGACUUCUGCUCGGAGUUCAGGAGCCGAGAUCAAUCGAGCUGGACCGCAGUCGGCUUGUUCAUUCCCAGUCAGCGGUCGAGAUUCACGAAUGGACUAAGCAUGUAGUCUCUUUUCGGUGGUCUUUUUCGGACGCGGGUUCGAUUCCCGCCGCCUCCACCA
This 354-nucleotide transfer-messenger RNA is filed under the name Bryobacterales bacterium. It matches the Rfam family "transfer-messenger RNA". Rfam says of the family: Bacterial tmRNA, also known as 10Sa RNA or SsrA, is named for its dual tRNA and mRNA-like properties. Its role is to liberate the mRNA from a stalled ribosome. Lineage: Bacteria; Pseudomonadati; Acidobacteriota; Terriglobia; Bryobacterales. The record is from RNAcentral.